This 247-nucleotide ribosomal RNA is filed under the name uncultured Gardnerella sp. Its description in RNAcentral is "partial 16S ribosomal RNA". It matches the Rfam family "Bacterial small subunit ribosomal RNA", at positions 108 to 355 of the family's 1533-position model. Lineage: Bacteria; Bacillati; Actinomycetota; Actinomycetes; Bifidobacteriales; Bifidobacteriaceae. The record is from RNAcentral.
GAGUAAUGCGUGACCAACCUGCCCCAUGCUCCAGAAUAGCUCUUGGAAACGGGUGGUAAUGCUGGAUGCUCCAACUUGACGCAUGUCUUGUUGGGAAAGUGUUUAGUGGCAUGGGAUGGGGUCGCGUCCUAUCAGCUUGUAGGCGGGGUAAUGGCCCACCUAGGCUUCGACGGGUAGCCGGCCUGAGAGGGCGGACGGCCACAUUAGGACUGAGAUACGGCCCAGACUCCUACGGGAGGCAGCAGCC